Long non-coding RNA from Zingiber officinale, 1228 nucleotides. RefSeq lists it as uncharacterized. The transcript is spliced from 3 exons. Lineage: Eukaryota; Viridiplantae; Streptophyta; Magnoliopsida; Zingiberales; Zingiberaceae. The record is from RefSeq and is a predicted model, not a curated record.
UCUUGGCGAAUGGAAGAAGAUGGAACAUCGUUUUUAUUUUUGGUUUCUCGAAGCGUCUUCGUCUCUUGACCGCGUCGGUUCCAAUCUCCGAUCAUCUCUCUAUUGCUCAGCAGGGGAAAGAUGGUUCUGAUCGAGCAAGAACCGGACGCCGAGGGAACCCGGGAAGAAGUCCCUGCAGACGCCUCAGAUAUCUGGCGACGCUCCGGUGGAAGUGGGAAAUGGCGGCGACGAGGAGCCCUUUGAGGACGCCCUGACAAAAGAGAAGUUGAGAGAGAAAGCUCUUAAGCAAGCAAAUGAUGCAAAGGAAGAAGGGAACAAACUCGCUUUAGGAUUGGUCGAUAUGAGGAUGCACUCUUGCAGUAUGAGAUUCCUGGGCAAAUUGCUUCUGAGCAACCUUCAUUUAUAGAUGAAAGUUGAAAGAGAUGGGAAACUUUUUGUUGGUCGUUUUGCGAUUGAGCCUGGACAACUUCAAAACUGUAAAAGAUCCCAAAACCGGUUCAUAUUCCAUCUCUUCUCAGCAGUAGUCCACUUCUAACCAAGGUUCAGAUUUAAAAGCUUAAUAUUUAACAGUUGGUACAUGAAAACUCGAGCAGCCUGUUCAUCUUGUUUAACGAGGAUAAACUAAUACUCCUUUAGAAAUAGCAAUCUCAAUCAGCUUGUUCAUCCUAUUUAUACUGGAGCAGCUUGUCCUAAAACUUCCAUGGCUUGGACCAAUUGUAAGAGCUAGAUACCUGGAUUACUUUAAAAAAAACUAAGAAAAGAUGCAAUGAUAUGACAGCAUUGAAGAUAUGGUAAUUUUUGUUCUUGUAUAUUGAGAAAUGAAAUGAUUAUGAUUACUAUUUGUGAUUAAGUUGUGUUAAUGUACUCUGAAAUCAGUAUGGAUUCGGUGCAGAAAGCGCAAGUGAUAAGUGGCUUAUCUGUAAGCAGUGGAGCACAUCAAAUUACAAGAAAGAGAAACCAGACAAAGUUUGGAUAUUGAACCAUUGUAGCUGGAGCCUUGAGACAUCUGUUACGAUGAGCCACUUUUUGUGAGGACACCAUUUUCUUGGCUUUGGCGGCUUCAAAACAGCUUUUAUUGUUAUCCUUUGAAAUUUUCAAAAUUUGUCGAAAUUGCAUUUAAACCCUCCAAAGUUGAUGAUUUUGCAUUGCGAUUAUUUAAAUUGUAUAACAAAUUCUUGUAUUUUUUUUUUAAACUCAAGUACUAAGUCUUUAUUUAGGAAUUUGAUCA